GACUGACAGCAGCGAAAGGACAAUAGGAUCAACUUAAAUGCUGGGAAACAAACCUCUCACCUGUCUGGCAAGACCCAUAAAUCCAGAAAGUACAAUAAAGAACACCAAAGGGCCAGCAAAGAACCCUCUGGCCCAUCAGCAGGUCUCAUACAGUCUCAGCACCUCUGCCAUGCAGCAUCCACAGACAACAACUCUGCCUGUGGCUACA
Monopterus albus (swamp eel) is the source of this 208-nucleotide long non-coding RNA. RefSeq lists it as uncharacterized. NCBI's taxonomy places the organism in Eukaryota, Metazoa, Chordata, Actinopteri, Synbranchiformes, Synbranchidae. The transcript is spliced from 3 exons. The record is from RefSeq and is a predicted model, not a curated record.